UACAUGGGGUGCAAACGUUGCUCGGAAUUAUUGGGCGUAAAGCGCACGUAGGUGGUCUGUUAAGUGCAGGGUGAAAGCUCCCGGCUCAACUGGGAGAGGUCCUUGCAUACUGGCGGACUUGAGGGGGGUAGAGGAAAGUGGAAUUCCCGGUGUAGUGGUGAUAUGCGUAGAUAUCGGGAGGAACACCUGUGGCGAAGGCGGCUUUCUGGGCCCUACCUGACGCUGAGACGCGAAAGCGUGGGGAGCGAACCGG
This 253-nucleotide ribosomal RNA is filed under the name uncultured bacterium. RNAcentral describes it as "partial 16S ribosomal RNA". It matches the Rfam family "Bacterial small subunit ribosomal RNA", at positions 524 to 776 of the family's 1533-position model. The record is from RNAcentral.